UGGGGAAUAUUGCACAAUGGGGGAAACCCUGAUGCAGCCAUGCCGCGUGUGUGAAGAAGGCCUUCGGGUUGUAAAGCACUUUCAGCGAGGAGGAAAGGUUGGCGCCUAAUACGUGUCACUGUGACGUUACUCGCAGAAGAAGCACCGGCUAACUCCGUGC
This 160-nucleotide ribosomal RNA is filed under the name uncultured bacterium. RNAcentral describes it as "partial 16S ribosomal RNA". It matches the Rfam family "Bacterial small subunit ribosomal RNA", at positions 355 to 508 of the family's 1533-position model. The record is from RNAcentral.